RNAcentral lists this ribosomal RNA (465 nucleotides) under uncultured bacterium. Its description in RNAcentral is "partial 16S ribosomal RNA". It matches the Rfam family "Bacterial small subunit ribosomal RNA", at positions 28 to 507 of the family's 1533-position model. The record is from RNAcentral.
GACGAACGCUGGCGGCGUGCUUAACACAUGCAAGUCGUACGGUAAGGCCCUUUCGGGGGUACACGAGUGGCGAACGGGUGAGUAACACGUGCGUAACCUGCCCACAACUUUGGGAUAACGCUAGGAAACUGGUGCUAAUACUGGAUAUGUGCUCCUGCUGCAUGGUGGGGGUUGGAAAGCUCCGGCGGUUGUGGAUGGACUCGCGGCCUAUCAGCUUGUUGGUGGGGUAGUGGCCUACCAAGGCGGCGACGGGUAGCCGGCCGGAGAGGGUGACCGGCCACAUUGGGACUGAGAUACGGCCCAGACUCCUACGGGAGGCAGCAGUGGGGAAUAUUGCACAAUGGGCGCAAGCCUGAUGCAGCAACGCCGCGGGCGGGAUGACGGCCUUCGGGUUGGAAACCGCUUUCAGCAGGGACGAAGCUUUUUGUGACGGUACCUGCAGAAGAAGCACCGGCUAACUACGUG